This 333-nucleotide ribosomal RNA is filed under the name uncultured bacterium. RNAcentral's name for it is "bacterial SSU rRNA". It matches the Rfam family "Bacterial small subunit ribosomal RNA", at positions 193 to 507 of the family's 1533-position model. The record is from RNAcentral.
GUGAGCAAGGAAAGCGAGGGGAUCGCAAGACCUUGCGCUGAUUGAGCGGCCGAUAUCAGAUUAGCUAGUUGGUGAGUAAAGGCUCACCAAGGCGACGAUCUGUAGCGGGUCUGAGAGGAUGAUCCGCCACACUGGAACUGAGACACGGUCCAGACUCCUACGGGAGGCAGCAGUGGGGAAUUUUGGACAAUGGGCGCAAGCCUGAUCCAGCCAUGCCGCGUGAGUGAAGAAGGCCUUCGGGUUGUAAAGCUCUUUCGGCCGGGAAGAAAUCGCACAGGUUAAUACCCUGUGUGGAUGACGGUACCGGAAUAAGAAGCACCGGCUAACUACGUG